Molecule: small RNA, 543 nt
Filed under: Histoplasma capsulatum
Lineage: Eukaryota; Fungi; Ascomycota; Eurotiomycetes; Onygenales; Ajellomycetaceae
Also listed under: 1 other name
Description: hypothetical RNA
Source: RNAcentral
GACCCGCACGGGAACAUUACAAACAAACUCACGGCACGCACUGUUUACUAUCCACUGCACAUAUCAUCAUGAUGACCAUCAGCAUUGAUUGGGUUUCAACGGCAGCCUGGGGAUACCUGAGCGUUGUGUACCACUAUACAUGAUUACAUGAGGUAUUGCUUGUAUCCGGCCAGUCUGCAGUCCAUGGAAACAGUCGAGCUGGUUUCCACUGGUUACGCGAAAAAGCAAAACUGGCUUCAGUCGGAGACUACUUUGUUGGGUGCAGAUGCAGAUGGCUCGUUGGCCAGAGUCGGAGAGUUUGAGCUGCUAGUUACCAGUUAGAUCGUGGUCUGAUAGGCACGGACGACAGUUGGGGAGCUUAAUGCGGUGCGGGGUAUGGAUGUAUCUAUGACUGAAGCUGUAGGAGGUGAUAUGAUGACACUUGCAGUAGCUUGUGAUGGGUGAUUGUUAACUAGUUAGUUAACUACUAGUUAAUCCUUUGUCAGGAAGCGUUCAAAAGGAACGGGAUGCAUUGAUUGCUGAGAUUGUGUCGGGACAAUGGCG